Molecule: small nuclear RNA, 191 nt
Organism: Sorex fumeus (smoky shrew)
Lineage: Eukaryota; Metazoa; Chordata; Mammalia; Eulipotyphla; Soricidae
Product: U2 spliceosomal RNA
Exons: 1
Source: RefSeq, a predicted model, not a curated record
GUAAUUUCUUGGCCUUUUGGUUAAGAACAAGUAUUGUAUCUGUUCUUUUUAGUUAAAUAUGUGAUACAUCCUCUAUCCAAGGACAGUAUACUAAAUGAAAUUUUAGAACAAGGAAAUGGAAUAAGAGCUUGCUCUGUUUAUUCCACACAUUGACCUGGUAUUACAGCACCUCCAGGAACAGUCUCCCCCUC